UUAAAUUGAAGAGUUUGAUCAUGGCUCAGAUUGAACGCUGGCGGCAGGCCUAACACAUGCAAGUCGAACGGUAACAGGAAGCAGCUUGCUGCUUUGCUGACGAGUGGCGGACGGGUGAGUAAUGUCUGGGAAACUGCCCGAUGGAGGGGGAUAACUACUGGAAACGGUAGCUAAUACCGCAUAACGUCGCACGAACAAUGAGGGGGACCUUAGGGACUACUCCCAUCUGCUGUGACCAGAUGGGAUUCGCUAGUAGGUGGGGUAACCGCCCACCGAGCCG
Molecule: ribosomal RNA, 280 nt
Filed under: Escherichia coli
Lineage: Bacteria; Pseudomonadati; Pseudomonadota; Gammaproteobacteria; Enterobacterales; Enterobacteriaceae
Description: partial 16S ribosomal RNA
Rfam family: Bacterial small subunit ribosomal RNA
Source: RNAcentral